This 30422-nucleotide long non-coding RNA is filed under the name Phoenix dactylifera (date palm). The record is from RNAcentral. Lineage: Eukaryota; Viridiplantae; Streptophyta; Magnoliopsida; Arecales; Arecaceae.
UUUUUUACUCUAUUGUCAAUCAGUAAGCAAAUCUUACAUUGAUGAAUCUCCCAUGUCUAGGCAGCUCUUACAUGCUUAUCAAAUCCUGUAUGAACAGCAGCUUCAUAAUUAGUAAUCUAUGAAUACCUUAACUAACAAAAGAUGGGGAUAUACAUAGCCACAGUAGAACAAGUUGCUAAACACAAUAACACACUGUAAAAACAGCUUGGAAAAGCUAAGCCUUCCUGCACAGCUCCCUGCGAUGACAUGUUGCUUGCUUCUUGGGCAAGUGGCACACAGGCCCUGUCUAAAACCACCUACAGCCCAUGUUUCACACCAAUUCCUGACUGCCAGAGGACUGGCAAUUGAGCAGGGAGUGGAGUGGGGCGGGGAAGCAGUAAAAUGUGUACUGUAUCAAGGCCUUGGUCCCAUAAUAAACACCCUACAUUUGUCUACAGGGUAUUCUCUAACCUAGGAUUCGCCAAUAAUCCUUUUAUGUGCAAUGUCUCAAGCAAUACACAUAAUACAUGAUGUUACAUAACCUGUAAAAAAUGGUUUCCAAGGAUGUCUACGCAUGUUAUUGAAACCUUGCCACCAAGUUACAGUUGCCACACCAGAGCAUCCCUCAAAGGAAAUGAAUUUUAUCAAUCUUGUAUUACAGUUGCCACACCAUAGCAUCCCUCAAAGGAAACGAAUUCCUCAAUGUUGUCACAGUUCUAAAUAAUUCUAUUCUCCUUUAUUAAUGAAAAUGGGAUCGAAAACAAGACGUAAACUGUUAUUGUCUUCUCCCAGUGCCCCCAUAAUGCCGGUGUUCAUCUUCCAACACUCCUUCAUCCUCUCCAAAACCCUAAUAAAACCCUAAUUCUACCAUUUUUAUCAAGGAAAAAAAAACCUUGAACCGGAGCUCUUACACUAGGAAGUUGGAUUCAUUCAAAAUAGAGCACGUUAGAAGACAAAGUCUCGAACAAAAGACAAACCUUCGAGUCAUAGACCGAACUCGAAGAACACCAUAAAAUCCACCAAGAAAAGCAUGAGAGAUUAAAAUCGCAGGAGAAAUCGAAACAAAAAAUAGAUAACUAUCAAUGGCAAUCAAGCACUAAUCUUUAUCUAGAUUUGAUCUUACCGUCGUCCGACGACAGGGGGGUAUUUCGUACUCCAAUCGAUCUCGAUCCGACGAAACGAUGGCGGGAAUUUCUAUUUAGGGAACCCCUCUUCUUCUGUCCCGCUCUCGCCACAGUCCGGUUUAGUUCGGCUCCAUCUCUCGUUCGUCCGGUUCGUAGAAUCGUAUCAAUGCCGGUCUGAGCAAUAGAUCGGGGGGUCGGCCGGCGCGGCUGUGGGGCCUGAUCUCCUCCGUAAGACAAUGCCAGCCGUUGGAUCCUUCCGCUGGUCCCCUGGGGCGAUAUGGAAUUAUGCGGCGUUUCUAGGGUUAGGGUUUCUUCAACUCUUUUAUAAAUAGGGGUCGAAGGGGUGUUGGCCCUAUUCGUCUACGAUCUUGGCUAGGGUUUUGCGUGGCUUAGGGUUCCAUCAGCGGUGUUGAUGGCGGUCAAAAGGUGCCGCCAUACCUUCGCUGGAUCCCAUGGUAACACUUUGUUUUAUGGUAAUGCCUCUUGGAUCUUUUCUCCCCUUCCGUAAUGCGCGAAACUAAACCCUAAUGCACUGAAAGAGCGAAAUUUUCAAUUCUUGGUUUUUGAUUCUAGAAAAUUGUCGAUAUUUGAUCUUGUUUCACCUCGGAGGCAUUGGAUUUGUAGAGGAACUAAUAUCUAAUUUUUGGAUUUGAGAGGUUUUUGGGUUUUAAUUUUAGUGGAAAUCUCGCACGUUGCACCCCGGGCUUUUCUGAGAAUUUCCAUGACGAUGGAAGCCCCAUUGCUCGUGCUAGAUUUAUUCGCCGUUCUGUGUUGCAGAUCUGUUCACGAAUUCCAACGACUGAUCUGUGUCAAAGUAACGGCUAGACUUCAAUUUUUUUAAUCAUGUUUUCUUCUAUCUAUUUGUCAUCUUUUGCCUUUCCACACCUUUAGCUUUUGAGAUUUGUUGCCCAAACAAGGCGGGUUCAACGUAGGGGCUCACUCUUCUUCCAUGGUAUUGCCUCUAAAAUCUCUCGCCAAAAAAUAUGCCUCCUAACAGCUUUGAAAUCUGGGUGAUUGUUUUCAUCAAAAUCAUAUUUUUGGGACAUGAAGAGAUUAAAAUUGAAGUUUUCUGUGGAUUUUUAAUUGUUCUCUGUAGUUUUGCUUAAUAUCAAAGUGUAUUAGUAAUAAAAUGUUAUCCUCUUAGGAUACAAGCAAAACAAUUCAGAUUGAAUCUAUUUUUCCUAUUGAAUGUUGUAUUGUUAAUUACUUAUUCUUUUGUUGGCGAUGAUUAUAAUCUACCCGCGCUUCUGAUAAUUAUACAUGAAGCAUAUGGUUAGAAAAAAUGGUUGAAUUUCUUGAUAUGAGCCAAUAUUAGAAAUUAAUAGUCCUAACAUUUAGGGCUUGUUUAUCCUUCUUUUAUAUUUAGUUUUGAAAUGCUUGCAUGAUUAGAUGUUUUCCUGUUCCUCUUAUGAUGGAUUCAGUGAGAUAUUUGGCUGUGAUGAGAAUCUAUUCAGCUUCAACAUGCCAGUUCUGCUUCAGAAAAUUCAUGAUAGAGGAAGCUGAUGAAAACUGAGCCUUCCUAUGUGCACAAGUGAACACUGAAUUUUCUAUUUUUAUCUAUAUUUCAUCGAUCUUUUUCUCUUCUUUGUUUGAAUUUAUUUUGACAGUGUCUGACAACUAACACGGUUGUUUCUUUCUUUUCUGCCUGUGAUGAUAUCUCCGAGUUUAUGAGGUGUCGCUAGCUCCAAGUCCCUGUUUCACAGGGAGAACCUACUUGGUGCUGUAACAUUCAAAUGAUAUGAAGGGACUUCUUUGAGGCAUUAGUUUGGUACUGAUCACAAGGUUGCCUUCAUAUGUAUGAGAUACUGCCCACAAGCAACUACAUUCUGGGUGUUUUUAAAUACCUAUUUAUCCUAUUUGUUUAAAAUAUUAUCUUCUGAACUUUAAUAGUUUGUUAAACUUACAUUAUUUUACACAAAGUAUAUAUUUUGGACAUAAAUGUUUAGUCCUUAAGUACUAAGCAAUUUUUGUGAAAUACAAAAUUUUUAACCUUUCUCAUGUCACAGCUCUGCAUGUUAUCACAUGGUAGUGUGAAUUAGUAACUAAGCUAUAUUUGUGAAAUACAAAAUUUUUAACCUUUCUCAUCUUACAGCUCUGCGAUUUAUCACAUAGUACUGUGAAUUAGCAAUGAAAUUUUUUGAAAAAAAAUUACGGAGCUCACUUUUGGUUACUUGUUCUUAAUAUCUAGAAAUAAUUUUUUGAAUUCUUUUGCCACAGCUAGUGAUGAUUUGUCUGCAAAAUCGAUGUGUUGUGAAACCAAGUCCCUGCUUGCAGGGAGAACCUACUUGGGGAAGCAGCAUUUUACAUGACAUUAGUCAGAUACUUCUGAGGCUCUGAGUUUAAAAUGUUUACUCUUUGGAUUCCGUUUGAUUUACUUUUCACUAUUAAAAAUUUAAUUGUACGGUAGAUGGUACUUCCUAGCUAUCCUUACUGUGACAUGGUAUAUGUCUGUCUGCCUGUUGAUCAAGGGUGAAUAUACUUUGUAAAUAAGAAGACCACCUUCUCCACUCUUUUGCAGUUGUUAAAAUCCCACUGAUGAAUCAAAACUUCAACCUUUCUUUGCUUUUUAAACAAAUCAUGGAUGCCAUUUCAAACAAAUGAUGUGGUGGAAGACAACAGAGAGUAUUUUUUGCAGUCCUUAACUAAAUGAGUUUGGAUCCUCUCCAGUUUGGGGUUGAACAUGAAGAGUUCCAUAUUCCAUUUGUAGGCUAUCUGUACAUUCUGGUGGAGCCUGUGAUUGUUUCAGGCUCAGAUCUGCACCAAUCCGUGGAUGUUUGGCGCUGCUCAGCCACAAGUUGUGCGACAAGGAUGGCCCAAGUUUUCUUGCUGCUCUCGCUUUUGUUUUUAAUCUUUAUCUUUUUCCCUCUGUUUUUUGGCUUUGCUAUGAUAAUCACUGCAUGUGAUUGUUCCUCUGGAUUAUGUCACCCGACUUACAUUACUUGUGUCUCCAAGUACUUGAGUUCAACUAUCCUCAUGCUAGCGCUCCCAACUGGCAUGUAGGCUGAAGAACUCAGAAAUUGAGUGUUGUCAUCAGCUUCGUCUCUCAUCAAAUGAGAUUGGAGUUAAAUAACAGCACAACAUUGUACAUUUUCCCAUGUUCUUAUAUGUUAGUUAUUGUCAGGGUUGUGUUUUAUACAAAUGUGUAUGUCUAAAUGUCUAUCAAUUUAUACCUAAAGUGUGUUUUAUGUGUUUUGUUGGGGUAAUUAGAUUGUCCAUAUCCUUGUAUGUUCUUAGUCAUCUUUCAUUUCUCAAUCUGUGGCAUCUAGUGUUAUUUCUUUCAAUUCUUGGUAGUUUACCAUGCUCUGAAGCCUGAAGGUUAGAAUGUCUGAAUAAAAUAUAUUCAAGAUUUAUUAAUAGUUUGUGGAGAUAUUAAUAGUGUCAAUGAUUUGUAACUUUAAACUAAGUACAGUAAUUCAAGUGUUUUGGUUGUAUUAGAGUGAUAAUAUACAUGCAUGCUAGGGUUUUGCGUGGCUUAGGGUUCCAUCAGCGGUGUUGAUGGCGGUCAAAAGGUGCCGCCAUACCUUCGCUGGAUCCCAUGGUAACACUUUGAUAUGAAUUGUGUAUCAGAUUCACUACCAUCAGCAUUAAGCAGAAGAGGAAAUAUGGUGAUGAUAUGAAGGCUCUUUACAUCUCUGAAGUCGGAGAGCUUGGGAUAGAUUUUCAGGUGCAUCUUAUACUUUCAAAUGAUUGGGACAUGCCUGUGGUGAAGUAGUUGUGGGCAACUAUAAGAAAUAUUUGUAAAAAUAAUAGCUUGUGGGAUGGCCUGAUUACACAUAGAAGCUUGAAUGUUUGUGAUCUUUCUAAUUAUCAUAGGUUUCUUCUGGUAUAACAUGAGUUUUGAUAGAAUACACUCCUCUUUUAAUUGGUGCACCUUCUUGUUUCACACCAGUAUGAAAAUUGAAUAUGAAUCAAUGUGGAUCUCUUUAAGGUUGGAGUACUCAUAAAGAUAUUUGAGACCAAGCUAGAAGGCAAAUGGAGAAAACAAUAAGGGCUAUAUAAAAGGAUCCAAAGCAUUCAAUAAGGUUCACACGCUACUACAUCUCCACUCAUCAUCCGCACUCUCUUGUUAGCUGUCACCCUAUUAGAGAUGGGCAUGGAUAAAAUCCGCUCGGCUAGUUGUUCAUCGAACAUGCGCCCAAUGUAAUUGUAUGUCCCACCUCCACUCUCCUCUGAUGAUUAGCUUGCAUACCUUUUGACCCUCCAACCAUAUGUGAUCGAUCAUGGUAGGCAAAUCGUUCAGUGUGCCCUCAGCUAACUACCUAUCCUCCAAAAUUUUGACAAAGAUCUUCCAUCUAGUCUUUGGUAACAUCCAUGCGCACCAAUCUCUUGCCAUAUAAAGAUGUUCGUCCUACGCGCAUGGUGUCUUGAGCUGCUGGGUCACCAUACUUUGCCCUCGGUGCUCCAUAAAUAUGUUGGCUCCAGAAUAAGUUUGGCUGCUAGCCUGAUCGAUAGUAUCUUCCUGUGCUCGAUCAGAGAAUGAACACUCAAACCAUCUUGGCUUGUCAAUUGAUAGAUGGUUUUCCAACCUCCUCUGUCACCCCAGAUGAAAUUUCUGAAUAGCCUUUCCAAACCUUGUAGAGUUGUAAGUGGGACCAUUGUAUUAGAAAGCAAGUAGAUGGGGUUGGAACUCAUGAUGGAUCUAACCAAGGUAACUUUGCCCAUCAUCGAUAGUGCACUCACCUAUCAGCUUUUCAGUCUAUGUCUGAUGCUCUACUUCAUAUUCGUACACUCCUCCUUGCGCAGUCGGUGUCCUGUGAUCGGAACCCCAAGGUACUUGAGGCUCCCCUCCUACUCACCAAUCCUCAAGAUGCUCAUGAUAGAUGCCUUCAUCCCAGGCUCAGUCUUCGGGCUAAAGCAGAUGGCAAGUUGACUUGCUGACCAGAUAUCCAGCAGUAUACCCCCAUCCUUUUGAUGGCUAGUGUCAACCUCCUCGUUGCACGAGCCAAUAGCAUACAAUCAUCUGCUAAUGAUAGGUGUGAGAUCGGGGUCGUCCCCUGCACUAGGCUAUAGGCUUCCAUCUCCUGUGUCGCCGUCGUCCCCUUUAGGUGGAUACAUGUGAGGUGGGACUUACACAUGUCAUAGUCAACUGUUUGAAUAAAUAUACACAUGUGUGCUUUUCAAAAAAGUAUAUUUUGUGCAAAUAAAGAGAGGAGGUCUGUUUAUGAAUUGUCUUUCAGCAAGAGAGGUACGCAAAAGGUGAGGAGGGCUAAAUUGAAAUUUUUAAAAAUUUUAGGUAGUAAUACAGCGAAAAUUAAAUGCUUCAUAGGUGAAUGUUGAUAUCAAAGUAUGAAAGGAAUUAAAGUAAGAAAAACAAACAAGGCAAAUAUAAGAAAUUUAAAUUGGUUUGAUGCGAAUCUUGAAUCUAUAUCCAUUCCUCAAGACUUUCUUCUUUGGAAUUUCAUUAUAAUCUAUAAUCUAGAUUACAGUUUUAGUUGUUUUUUGGUUCAUAACCAAAUCUAGUUGAUUUUCUUAAAUUAAUUACUCCAAAUUUUAAUUGAUUGUUUUUCGAGUUCAUAAUCAGUUUAGUUGAUUUUUCAGGCAAUUAACUAAAAUUUUUUCCGAGCCUAUUCUAGACUCAGCAUAAUUCAAUUUUCGAUUUAAAUGGACUUUUCUUUAAGUUUAAAUUCUUUAAAUUUGUUACAGCAAAGAAUAGAAAAAAAGUAAAUGCCGUUACAAUGAAUAUAGCUCGAAAAUAAUAAACACAAUAGUAAAUAGAGCUAGACUAUGUUCAUUGACUUUAAAAACUCUUGAAGGUACUUCACCAACUCUCUAAUCGAUCAUCUCGCAAUGAAAGCACUUGAUAUUUUCUUUGAAGCUUUCUCUUUCUGCUUUUUUUUUCCUAGCUCUAGUGGAUUUAUCUUCUGAGAUUGUUAUGAGGUCGACAUGUGAUCUGUUAGAGUUGGCUUGUGAAGAUGCAUCAGUCACCAGUCAGCAAUAAGAGCAGCUAAAGAUUUUUUUCUUUACUUUCUGAAAUUAUCAAAGCAAAUAGAUUAGUCAAUUUUUAACUCAACUAUUUUGUAUCAUCAAAAUCCAUCCUUCAGGUCAAUACUUAGCAUUUAAAUUGAAGCUCUACUCACCUCCUAAAUUGAAGCUUUCAAGGGUAGACUCAAACAAAGUUUAGACACUUAAUGAGGCCAAAAAGAGGAAAUGAAUUAAAAUUGAUUCUCUAUUUUAUAAUAUAUAGACGGAACUAAAGUCUAAAGUAAGCUAAUUAAGUGAGCCGACUAGUUCCUCUUAUUCUAAGUUCCAGCUUUUAAAAUAAUUAGGUUAUGCAUGUGUCAUGGUUGACGUAAACAAAAAUUUUGUUCCUACCUUAAUGUUAUGCUUUAACAAGGAGGGGAAAGAAACGAGGGCAACGAAAACUGGAAGGAACAGACAUCCUUUCUAAACUGGGAAGAUUUGGAAGGGUGCAAGGGGAGAACAAGAUAGACUCGGAAGCACCCAAGUUAAAUAAAACUUAUAAGAGAAAGUGGCCGUAAUUUCCUCAGGUUUAAAGAUACAUGUCUCAUUUAUUAGGUUCUGGCGGUGGUUUUCUUUUCCAGGCAAAAUCUCUAUUUUGUCCUUGCUAUUUACCCAAUUUUCUAGGAUGUUUUCUUCUCCAAAACUUAUAUAAAUUGAAAAGACAUUGUGUUUCUAACAAAAAAAAAUGGUAAAGGGUGUGUGGGAUUUCUUGCAAUUGGUGUGACUGCUUUCUUGCCAUAAGGUAAGAGCAUCUCUUGGAGGAUAUAAUCAUUGAUAUUGGCUAUUGCUAAUGUAAAGGUGGUACACUUCUAAAGGAAAGCUAAUUAAACAGCGGAUUGGUUGGCAAAGAGAUGAGGGUACCAGGCUGGCAAAGACAUGCACUCAUGAAGGUACCAACCACCAGCGAAGACUAAGCUCUCAGCAAAUCAAAUUUAAUUAACUAAAUUAUUAAACUUUGAUAUAUUAAAUAUUAAUAUAGAAGAAUAUAGCAAAAAUUUGUAGUAGCUGAAACAAGCAUUAAAAUUAUAUCUUAGCCUGAUUCUAUUUAUUGAAGGAGGAGUAUUUGAUGAAUAAAUUAACCACAUGCAUUUUGGGCUAAGAUAUGAUAAGUUUAUAUCUAUUUUUAGAUAAUAUUAUAGAUUACGUAUAUUAUUGUUUGCUCUUUUAGAGCAAAUGUGCUCCUGCUGCCUCAAAGGAAGGAUAAAUUUAUAGAACAGGGAUCAGAAAUAAAUACAAUCACUCGCAUUAGUUAGCAAUAUAUCUACCGAUGGAAUAUCUCAAUACCAAGAUAUAUUAACUCGGUGCUUGUAACUUUCCUACAGUUUUGUCUUUGAGGCCUUUCCUGCAGUGGGCCGGUCUAAGACAAACUUACGGUCAUUAUAUCCGUACAUUUAGUAUGGAAGCUGAUUUACCUAUCAAACGUUGGUACAUCUUAUAUAUCGUAUAUCAGUACUGAAUCGGUAUACUAUGCUCCAUAUCGUUUGAUUCCAUUUAAUUUGGCAUGGUAUAUCAUGUUUAAUAUUUCGAUACACUAUCAGCACCCGCAUAGGAAUCCCAGUAAUAUAUCCGAUCACAAUAAUGUUUUAUCCGGGGGGUUUAUAGAUCUGCUCCCUCUCGUAGCAUUAGCGAAGCCAUAGCGGAUGAGAACAGCGGACACGCAAGCGUCCGCCGCCUGUCCGCCGCCUGUCCGCGUCUUUUUAUUUUUUAUUUUUCUUAAACCGUUGAAGACAAGCCUGCCUCUGCGGCUCUGCCCGUCGCCUUCCUCCCUUCCACAAAGAAAGGAAUCCUUUCCCGCCUCACAGAAAACGGGAAGAAUCGCGAUGCCUUUCUUGGUCGGCCAGUCAAACAAGCCUUCCCAUUAAUUGAUCCAGUCAUGCACCUUGUCUUUUUCUUCCUUUUUUUUAUAUAAAUAUUUAAUUAUUUACCAUACAUUCUAUAGCUUCAAAGAAACAUCUAAAAAAUAAAUAAAAGAAAAAAAACAAAUGACUGAAUAGUUAUAUCGUAGAUAAGCUUCUCUCUAUUUUUUUCUAAAAUUAAUAUAAUUUAUAAACUUCAAAUUAAUAAAAAAAAUUGUUUCAUCCCAUGCGAAUUUACAUUCGCUAUAUUGUUGCACAAAUAAAAUCAACUUUAAUUAACAAAAAAUAUUUUAAAUAUCUAAAAUUAAAGAAAAAAGGAAAAUUAACCGGGACAGUUAAUCUUCUGCCGCGGCCUCUUGUAAGGCCACGUGUCUGUACGUCUUCUAAGAAGAAAACGAAGAGGAAACGAAGACCAGAGACCUAAAGUUCUCUCUCUUCUAGCAGUCCACCCUUCUCUCUCUGAUCUCUCUCUCUCUUGGUUCUCGGCAUGAGGUUCUCGGCCUUCUUCUUUGACGGCGCCUCCCGCGCCUUCCACCAUCGCCCUACCUUCUCCAAGCUCGUAGUCAUCUUGGCCGCCAGGUCUUCUCCUCUUUAAUUCUGCGUUUUGAUCUAGUUUAAGCUGCCAUUCCGUUUCAAAAUCCGCUCUUUAAUGUAUUAUGUGAUGGAAUUUAGCUGGAAACUGGUUUCAUUUUGCUUCAGAUCUAUAAAGAGCUUUGUAUUUUCGUUUCCUGGAUUGCUGGUACAAGAAACUUGUCUUUUCCGUGAUCUUGUCUUACUUGCACUUGUUCUGGUUCUGGAUCUCCAGAUGUUGGGGAUCCUUUUUCUUUGUUGGAUGAGAUCUAGUCUUUACUCAAAAAUACCCAUCAUAAAUGGACAUCCAUUUACUAGUCAAGGGUUUCUAUUUUUUCCUUUGAAGACAGCUAAUAGUUAAUUCAUCACUAGGAUGCAGCCAUGGCUAUAACUUGGCGGUUGCAGAUGUCUACGAAAUGAACAAAAGAAAAAAAAAACAGAUGAUGUAUGGCAAGAGAUGAGGAGAUAGAUGCUUUGUUUCUUUUUCAAUCUCAUAUUAUCAUUGACUUGUAACACUUGAAGCAAUUACUUUAUGCAUUCAGUUAUUGAUAGUUGUUCGUAUUGAAAACUGAAAAUGCUGUGGCUGGCUCAUGUUGAUUGGGUGCCUUUAAUACAAAGCUUGCACGUUUAAACGGUUGCCUCUAUUGCACAUCAGUACUAUAAGGAAUUCUUAGUUGAAUAUUCCUUCCACACGGGCCAUUGGAUGAGAUCUAGUAGUCGUGAUUUCUUCUGCAUCCAAGCUAUAUAUAACCUCACUAGCUGGAUAUUGAGCUCUGACACAGUACAUACAGUUAGAUUGUAACUUUCCAUCUGAUUGAUUAAUUUUAUGUCCAAAAGAAAACUCAAGUGUCUGAACUAGUUUCUUAACCCAAUCACAUGGUGAUAUAUUUAAAAAUGCAUUUAUAGUUUUCAAGGAUCGCUGAACAGGUAUCGAUAGAUGUACCGGUUUUCAUCCGUACCGGUUCGGACCGAUACCAAACCGGUACUGAACCGAUACCACUGAUUUGGCCUGGUUCAUGCAUCCAAAAGUCCAAAAAAAAUUUAGAACUGGUACAAACCAGUACGGGCUGGUACAGUUGGCCGGUCGGGCCAGUACAGACUGGUACAUGCUGAACGGGCCGGUUCCGCAUUCCUUGAUUUUCGAUACCUUUUGAUAAUCAAAUGAGAGCUGGAUUGUCUUUUCUUCUACUAGUUAUAAAUUAUACUAUUUAAGAUCCCAUAGAUUCUUUCAUCUUUUUUACUUUCUGUUUCAUAUUUUCUCUUCCACGAUGUAUAUAUCAGGGGCAUCAAUUUUCUCUGCCCUAUGGGGUAUCGACCCAACUCAACCCUAAUGGGGCGGGCUUUAUCCGACUCGCAACAGAUCUGGGGAGGGUAUGGGUAAUGAUAAAACCUACCCCAAACCUGACUCGGAUAUAUAUAACUCUUCACAAAUUCCUCCCGAGGUAAAAAAAAAAAGUGAUAUAUAGGAAAAAAAUGAUUGUUUUUAGUUUGUCUGGCCGAAAUUCUCUAACCCGCCCCACCUCGUCCCGAGGCAAGUAUGUAGCGGGUAAUGUGUAAUGGCCUACUCAACUCAUAUUUGAUUCGUUGCGAUCCCUAUUAUACAUUCUAGUGGUGGCAAUCGGGUUCGGUUGGAUCAUAUGAGUUGCAUUGGGUUGGACUAGAUACGGGUCAUAUUGAAUACAAGAUAAAUCAAAAAUCUAUCAACCCGAACUAGACCUGUUCAUUAAACGGGUCAAAAAUCUAGACCCAAACCUAACCAUAUUAUUGAACAUGCAACCUCCAAUCUACAACAGGUCGAAACAAGUUAAACAUGUUAAAUUGUUAAGUAGUGCCACCCUUAAUAUAUUUUCUAUGCAUAUUUUAAAAAUCUUACAUGUCUUCUAGUACUAGAAGUCUAGAAGGAUCAUACAUAUUAUCUUUUCCUUCUCUCGGGCAAAAAAAAUUCCAUUUCAUGGUUUGCUAUACCAGACUGUAUCACCUGAUAUAGGGUAUGCCAUACUAGUAGCAAACUAAUACUCAGUGCAUGGGGUGUACUAGCAUGGUACUAGUUUCAAUACCGAAAUCAAUACUGUCAACCAUGAUCCAUUCCAGUAAGCUACACCAAAGCUUAUAUCAAUAGGAACUAAGAGGAGGGGGAAAAACUAUUGUUCAAACUUAGAAACUCCCAUGUUUUCUAUUAUGAUUUUAUGUACCAUUUCUUUCUUUCUUUCUCAAAUAUAAAUUAUAUGAUCCAUUCUGAGAGCCAACAUCAAACCUGUUUUCAGGGAAAAUAAAAAGAAAAAAUAAUAUUGUUGAUCAGUCACCUAUUUGGUGAGCUUCACUUCUUGCUCCAUUAUUGCUAUUAUCAUUUAGUUGAUUUACAAGAAAAAUAUUAAAAGUUGUAUGGUUUGCAAAUUUGGCCUGAUUUUAAAUUCCCUAACUUCUAAUUGGUUACAAAGAACUCCUGGAUUAGGGUGAAGGUUUACAAGUGCCCCUUAUUGUAUGUAACAAUUGGAUUGGGGAAACGGGGAAUGAUUUUUCUUUUCUUCACGCUCUUGCAGGGUCACAUUAGUUAAGAGUAGUUUUAAUAUUGUUUUAAAUUAAACAAGCUCGAUUCCUAUACCUGGUACCACUUGUUAGCUGACCCGUAUUACUGGUAAUCUGCCAGUUCUUGACCAUAUGUUCUGAACGCAUGGGAGGUUCAAGGAAAGAAAGAAGUGCCGAAGGAAAAGUCUGUAAGCAGUGAGGAUCCGAUUGUAGUUUAGCAAGAGUGGGCAUUUAAAUAAUUUAUUGUUUUUAACAUUGAUGUGUGAAUGGCUAAGCCGGUUAACCAACCUGUCACAAAAAUAACUGGCAGUUGGAGCAAAAUGAUCUGCUGACAUAUUUUCUUGUCACUGUUCCUCAUUUACAGCUAAAAUGUACGUAUAUUACAUAGAUAAUAAAUGCAUACAUACAUAUGUAUGUAUAUGUGAAUGUGUAUGGAUAUGCAUAUGUAAUGAAUGCACAUAUGGCUUGUAUUAUUCUGAGUCAUUUUUUAUCCUCGUGUUAGAAAUAUUCUGAUCUAUAUGAGUUUCCAACAAUUUAAAAGCUUAUUUACAUUGUUGAUGUUAUCAGUAUGUCCUAUAGUGUGGCUUAUGCUUCCUAACUUGCAGUGGUGGAGGUCUUGUGGCAUAUGCUGACUCAAAAUCAGACCAUGCCAUUGAAUCAUCUCGAGUAGCACCCAAGAAAAAGGUGGUAGUUCUUGGUACUGGUUGGGCUGGCACAACUUUCUUGAAAAAUCUAGAUAGCUCAUUGUAUGAUGUACAAGUGGUAUCACCUCGUAAUUACUUUACAUUUACCCCUUUGCUACCUAGCAUCACAUGUGGAACAGUUGAACCACGCAGCAUUGUUGAGCCGAUUCGCAGAAUCAUAAAAAAGGUACAAAUUGGCAUAUGUUAUUCCUGUUGAGUUACUUUUUCCUUUUUUCCUUUUUCUUUUUGAAAAGUAGGGAAUUGUUAUUAUAUAGGUUAUCAUUUAUAGUGCUUUUUCUUUUAAAAAAAUCCUUUUUAUUUCUUUACAUUUUAAUUUGUAAAUGAGUAGUAUUCUAUGUGAGGAUGAGUUAAAGUUUUCCAUUAGUUCAAUAAUUGUACUAGUAUUCCUUUAAAAGAAAAAUUGAGAAGCUAGUAAUAGCAGACUCUUAUGAUGCUUAUGGUUCAAGAAUGUAAUUAGUAUGACAAGAAUGGUAACUUCAUAUACGAUGUCAAACUGUCAACGUGUCAAGGCAGAGUAGGCAUCCACCUUAAUGCUUGCAUCAAUCUUAAAUAAAGCAUCUUUCUUCAUAUUUGUGAAAACAACGUGAUCUACCUCCAUAGAUAAAGUUGGCACAUAAAAGAUGAUUGAAGAAUAAUGAUAAAAAAAAAUAAUGAAAAGAGUCUGAUGUUGAGAGUUUAUUAAGGUAGUGAUUUUUCCCCAUGAUCCUGAUCAUAUUCGUGUUCGGAUAUAUUUUGUUUAGUUUUAAGUUUUAUGUUGCUUGGUUUCCAUCUCUGCCAGAGGUUAAUGUGUGUUUGUGUGUUCCUAAUAAAUAAUCUGGUCCUGUCAGUGAAGUAGUACUCAGCCUCUUUUCCGAUUAAUGAUUUUGCAGAAGGGAGGAGAAAUAAAAUUUUGGGAAGCUGAAUGUUUCAAAAUCGAUCCAACAAGCAAAAAAAUCCACUGUCGAUCUGAUAUUGGCACAAAUUUGGAUGGAAAUGGUGAAUUUCUUCUUGAUUAUGACUAUCUGGUGAUAGCAAUUGGAGCCAGGGCAAAUACAUUUAACACCCCUGGUGUAGUGGAACAUUGUCACUUUCUGAAGGUACACUUACUCUCAUCAGAAUAGAAGUCCUUAAUGCCAGUACAAUUCACUUGCAAAGACAACAGACAUGCUAGGAAUUAUUACUGUAAAUAACAGCAGAUACAAAUUUUUAAGCUUAUUUGCUUGAGACCGUUUUCACCAAGCUACUAGAUUCAUAUAGCAGAUAGUAUUAUUGCUGUAUGUUUCUGAUACAUGCAGAAACAAUCUCACCACAUAUGUGCCCCAAUUGUUUCUUAACUUUUUGAUAGGUAUCUUAAAUUUUCUCAGCAUCAAGUUUCAAUCAAGGUAUGCCAUCUCGGUACUGGGCCCAUUAUUGGUGCUACCCUAUCACUGCGUUAGCACGCCUGGUAUGGGGCCCUACUGAGUGUCGGUAUACCCCCCCUGUACUGUGUACCGGUACCUAACCAACAUGAUACAGUUCGGUAUAGUACUCUCCGUACCAUGCGGUUCGGUAUGGUAUAGCGUACUAUAUUUCAAUAUUAUUCAAAAUGAUGCCUUUAGAAAAAGUUGGCUAUUAUGUUUGUUGAUUGCCCGAUUGCGCCCUUCUCGAGAGGUUUUGUCUAAUCCAUAGUAGCUAUAUGCAGGAAGUAGAGGACGCUCAGAAAAUUCGUAGGAGUGUAAUGGACUGUUUUGAGAGGGCCAGUCUUCCAAACCUUGAUGCAGAAGAGAGGAAGAGGAUUCUUCAUUUUGUUAUUGUUGGUGGUGGUCCAUCUGGUAUUGAAUUCGCUGCAGAGUUGCAUGAUUUUGUUACUGAAGAUUUAUUUAAGUUAUACCCUAUGGUUCAAGACUUGGUGAAAAUAUCUGUUAUUGAAGCUGGAGAGCAUAUCUUGACCAUGUAAGGCCGCGCUCAUUAUUAUAUCAAUUCUCAUCUGAUUCCCUGAUUUGACUAUUUUUGUGAGUUUGAAAUUGGAUUGUGCAAAAUCACAACUCCAUCCCACUAUUUGUGGUUUAGUAGCAGGUUUCAUUGUCAUUAGAAUUCAUAUUAGCUAGCAUCUAUAAGCCCAUCAAAGGCUUGUGGCAAGCAGUGAUGUAUAAUACAACAAUUGUUAUUCUAAUUGAUUUUUAAUCUAGUUCUGUUCCAUACUAAGGAUAUGUUUUGAUAUUGUACAAAAUCAUGGCAAUUUAUGGUUUUUUAUGAUUUUGGAAAUUGUACAUUCUGAUUUGCUAAUACCAGGAGUUUGGUUGACAAUGAAAUUUCAUAAAAGCUCUACCACCACUUGCAAAUUUUGAUUUGCGUAGAAAUUUUAAGUUUUCUCUCCUUAUUAGCUUAUUUUUUCCUUUUUUCUUGAGAGAGAAAUAUUUUUCAAUCUUUUAAGAUCUUCCUUUCAUAAAAUCUCAACUUCAAUAGGAAUCAAGUAUCAGGGAAAAGACAGGCUUGUGUUUUUGAAAUUAAAAACAUCCAAAUGCAACCAAAAGUACAUUUAUCUAAAUUUAUUCUAUUUCAUCUUCAUGUUUAUCAUUAAAAUUUAUUUUUCAUAUCGCCUCUUAUUUCUAACUCUCUUUUUCCUCCCUGUCCUACCUUAUGUAAUUUGCAUGUGCAUUAUGUUUGUAUCAUGCAGGUUUGACAAGAGGAUCACUAAAUUUGCGGAAGAGAAGUUCCAAAGAGAUGGUAUUGAAGUGAAAACAGGGCUUAGGGUUGUGGAGGUGGCCGACAAAAACAUCACAAUGACACACAAAUCAACUGAAAAAAUGUCUGUACCAUAUGGAAUGGUUGUCUGGUCAACUGGUAUCGGGACACGCCCUGUCAUAAUGGAUUUUAUGAAACAAAUUGGUCAGGUUAAUUGAUUGUAGCUUAUGGUCACCAUUUUCUAAAAUUUGAUUUCUUAAAAUUUUGUAGAUACUUUAAUUUAUAUUUAAUUAUUUCCCAAUUGGACAGGUUAACCGGCGUGUGUUAGCAACUGAUGAGUGGCUGAGAGUCCAUGAAUGCAAUGGUGUAUAUGCACUUGGUGAUUGUGCCACCAUAAGUCAACGAAAAGUCAUGGUAUGUGAAACUUAGUUGUUGACCUCUUGUCUUGUUUCUUUAAAAUGUGCUGGCUAUGAGGUACAUAUAGUAUGUGAAUUGGAUCAAUAACAUGAAAAUAGUACUGUUUUCAUAGGUAAAUACAUAGUUCUGUAUGUUGUUGAGUUAGAAAGCUGUCCUCAUUGUUCAAAUAACAGCAAUUUUGAUCCACAUUGUAAAAUGCCUUACUAUAUCAGUUGCCUUGAAGGUUCCUUGCCUAUUCAUUAAAUAGACAAAAGUUUAUGUGACUGAAAUAGCUACAGGAAGAAAAUGCAUGAUGGGUUAUGUAAAUUGAGGAUAACUUUGGCCUUGCUUACCAUUUUGACUUUCAACUUCAGCACCUAUGACUGAUAGCUUGAAGCAUAGAUUGUCGAGCUGCCAUUUCACAAUUUAAACGAGUUUAUCCUGUUCAGUUUUAAUCUCCGGCAUAACUUCAUGAAACCUUUUGGUAGCCUUUGAUUGUCAUCUAGUGACAAUAUCAAACAGGUACACAUAGCAAGUGAUAAUGUAUAACUUAAAUGAUAGCAAAUACAGAGACUUCAUGCAGGUUUUAUACGUUGCAUUUAACUAGACAUCACAAUGAGAGUAUCAAUUAGCAGUCAACCAAGAUUGCAGUAUGACCAAUCUGAUUUAUGAAUAUGCCUUUGUACUUUCAGGAAGACAUCUCAGCAAUCUUUAAGGUUGCAGACAAGGACAAUUCUGGAACUUUAACUGUGAAAGAAAUCCAAGAUGUUUUAGAUGAUAUUUGCAUAAGAUACCCUCAAGUGGAACUCUAUUUGAAGAGCAAGCAAAUGAGCGACAUUGUUGAUUUAAUUAUGGAUUCCAAAGGUGAUGUUGAGAAGGAAUCUGUAGAACUGGACAUAGAAGAGUUCAAAAGAGCUCUUGCAAAUGUAGAUUCACAAGUCAAAAAUCUUCCUGCAACAGCUCAGGUAAAUGUGAUGUAACUGACAAUUGAAGUUUUAUAAUUUGUCUAGUUUUGUAUAACCAAGGACAUUAUCUUUAAUAUUCUUCACUAACAUGUACCAGGUUGCUGCACAACAAGGCAAUUAUCUUGCUAAAUGUUUUAACAAAAUGAAGGACUGUGAAGAGAGUCCUGAAGGUCCACUGCGCAUGAGAGAAUCAGGUCGCCAUCACUUUCGCCCCUUCAGGUACCUGUUCUGGUUAUGCUUCUUUCUCUCUCUUUCAUUUUUCUUUUUUAUUUUUUGGGUUGGAUGAACUUUAAUCAGUAUGGGUGGCCAAUGUAUGAUCUAUUUUAAUUAUUAUUCUUUGGUAGUUGUAGAUCCCUGAUUUGUUUAUUUGAUGCCACCUAAUCUAAUAUUGUGGUACAAUGUAGUCUAUAUGUAUUGGAUCAGGCAAUAAUGAAACUAUAACACAUAAAUUUUCACUCGUUGCAGUGUGCAAAUGAUAAGUUUAAUCUGUCACUGCAAGAUUGGAAGAUGGCUAGCACCAUGUAAAUACUUGUUAUAUUUAUUAUUCAUUAGCUUCAUCCUUAUUGCAUAUGUUCUGAUGAUGGAGUCACCCUUGAACUGUGGUAUCGGAAUUCUUUGUACUUAGAAAACAGUGACCUGAUUAUAUUGGUCCAGAUAUUUGUAUAUACAUAGACACACACACACACACACACGUCUAUAUGUGUGUGCAUGUAUGCAUGUUCCCACGUGCACCUAUCUUUGAGUUUAUACUAAUGUUCUUGGAAAAUUAAUUGUUUUUAGUGUUUCUUUAGGAUUAUUAUAGCAGUGGUUGAUAUAUGAAUCCUACAUCAUGUAUUAAUUAUCUAUUAUUGGUUGAAGAAAGACAUGGCAGUAUUAAAUCCAUAAAUGAAACAUCACUUUGUGUGUGUGUGUGUAUAUAUAUAUAUAGUUGAUCAUUGAGAUAUAGAUUCAUGUGGACCCUAAUUUAUACGAAAGAUCUAGUAUUAUGUAUUCUACUCAUGUGAAAAUUGCGUUAUAGAUCUAUAGUAUUUUGAAAUUCUUUCAUGUGAGAAUUGGAUCAUUCAUUUAGAAGAAGUCCAAGUAACCCUACAUUGAUGUUUUGUUGACAAUUCAUUGUUGAUGAAAUUGAGAUAUGUCAAGGAUGAAACAUCUUGCUAUCAAUAUAAGCUAAACUAAAUUGAGUGAAGUUUUUGUCAAACUAUUAACUAUACACAUUCAUGGUUUUAGUCAUAAAUGGAAGAAAAGUUUCUAUGGGUAGUGUCUCUUAGUGUUGAUGCGAGUUUUGUUACUUCUCUUCUAGCAGUCCACCCUUCUCUCUCUGAUCUCUCUCUCUCUCGGUUCUCGGCAUGAGGUUCUCGGCCUUCUUCUUUGACGGCGCCUCCCGCGCCUUCCACCAUCGCCCUACCUUCUCCAAGCUCGUAGUCAUCUUGGCCGCAUUUUUUUCAAAGUUCUAAUUAGUUGAUGACAAGAUAUGCAGAACCGACUGAACCGACGUACCGGUGGAGACUGGUACCUUUCGGAACCGGUACUGAACCGGUUCAGAAAAGAAAAGAAAAAAAUGCGCGGACGCGUUAUGCUACAAAGUGGCAUUAAUGCCACUCUGUGGCAUUAAAAGCUCACGUGGGGCAGUGUGUGGGCUCACUGCCCCGCACAGCGAGCCCAUGCGGGAAACCGCGCGCGUAUGGUUCUCCGCGUGUGGACGCGCGGUUUCCACCGCGUGGAACGUGCACGGGCACGAGUCGGGGAUGCGUUUUGCCACUCGCGCCCGCCCUCCUCGUGGCCUCUCUCUCUCUUUUUUUCUUUCUUUUCUUUUUUUCCCUUCUCUUCUUCUUCCCGAGCUCCUCCUCUCUUCUUCCCCUCUCUCCUCCUCUCUUCUCCUCUCUUUCCUCCUUCUCCUGCGAGCAAGGGAGGUCUUCCCCGUGAGGUACUCGAGAGGAAGAAAAAGGCCCGGUAGCGCAAGAGAGGUCUUCUUCCCCUCUCUCCUCCUUUCUUCUCCUCUCUUCCUCCCUUCUUCCCCGCGAGUACCGGUGGGAACCGCACCGGUUCGCACCGGUACAGGCAAGGAACCGUUAGGGUCGGAACCAAAUUUUAUGGCUGUACCGUACUGGUAGAGGCUGGUAUCGGUAUGAUACAGACUGAACCGGUCAAUGCCGAUCGGUUCAGCAGACCUUGGUUGAUGGAAGGUAUAAAGGUUUAUGAAGGGUAACUAAGUAUAUAAACUCUAGUAGAUAACCAUUUUAUAUCAAGGAGUAAAAUGAAGGUAUACUAGAAUGCUUUGUUCUCCACUCAUCUUGUCCUCUUGCCUUCAACUCAUAUCUUCAUGUCUAUACAUGCAUACAUACAUAUAUGCAUACAUGCAUACAUAUACAUACAAUAUACAUACAUAAAUACAUGCAUACAUAUAUAAAAAAUAGGGGUAGCUUAGCACACGAGGCUCUUGCCAUUGUGAGGUUUGGAGAGGGUCAGAUAUUUGCGACCUUACCUUUUUCAUGCAGAGAGACUUAUAUUUGUGUUUUGAAACCAUGCUUCAAGUUACAAUGGAACAACCUUACCAUUGCACCAAGGCUUACCCUCUAUAUACAUACAUCGAUACAUAUAUGUACCAACAAAGUGGAAUUAGAGGUACAAUUAUCCUACAAGAUUGAUGGUAAGGAAGAGAUGAUUUUAGAGAUACGGUGGUCCUGCAAGAUUGACAAUAAUAAAGAGAUAUAUUUAAGAUUUUGAAGGCUUUGAGUACUAGUUUCUUGGCAUAGGAGAAGGUGAAAUUGAUUUGGAGAAGCAAAGGCAAUAUUGUUGCGAAAUUUUGAGUGAAUAAAAUAGAUAAAAGAAACAAAUGAUUAUAAUUGUAAAGAAAAGAUAAUGGAGAAAUAAAAGUUCUUUGAAGAAAAUUAGGAUAUUCUAACCGUUAUUUCAAGAGCUAGCUUGUGUUGGGCUAGAACUAGCACCUAGCAUGAGACAGCGUUGCACUUAUUAAACCUUCUUCUUUAGUAUACUCAAUUAAAGAGGUCUUUAUCCUUCCUUUUAAUCUAUUUCUUUGGCAUGCCUGCACAGCAUGGUACAUGCCUUGGAAGCCACUAGCUGGCAUCCACUAUGUGAUUGGUAUUUAUCUUGAUCCUAGCAAUAAAUAUUGGUGAUCGAACUCCUAUCUUCCAGAUUGUAAAUUAUGGAAUGUUACAUAGAAGCUAAAAAGUUGCAUGUCAAGGAAAUUUCAACGGGUAAAAAGAGAGAGAGAGCACUAAAUAACUCAUGAAUCACCAAACCAACUAAAGGAGAAGCUUAAGUCAAUCUGUUCUUGUUACAAGAGUGAACGUCACCAUAGGAGUAUUAGUUGGCAAUCUUGGAUGAUGAUGAAUCUUUGGAAGAAAACAUUGAAGAAGGCGAAACUGGAGUGGGUGACUUUAAGAAUGCAGAGUUUGAUGGAAAGGAUGAGAAAAAAGCAAAUGCAAACAAUAUUAGGGAAUAUUCUUUAAAAUUAUAAGAGAAAAUUGAAGAGUUAUAAGAAAAUAAGCAUGCAGAAGAAAUGAAAGAGGCAAGGAUAAUAGAUCAAGAGUAGAAAUUUUAUUGAAAGUUAGAAAGGCAAAGAAUGAUAAGCAAAUUGAAAGGGCACCGGUUUUUGAACCCAUUCAUUUAGUUUUCCAAUGAAAAGGCCAAUAUUCAAAAUAAGUAAUCAAACAUUUGAAAAACCAAACUUGCAAAUUCUUCGAUUGAUAAAUGCUAUGGUUAAUGGAAGCCUUACCUUUUUCCCUUUGAGCAAAAGAAGUGGGCACUAAACUAUUAAGCAUAAAUGUGAAGAAUAAUGUGUGUUUGAAUCAAAAAAUUGCACACCUAAAUGAAGAUGAUUUGAGAAGCCCUUUGAAGUCAAUAAAAAUGGCAUGAAGAUUCUUGUAUAUAGAAGUGUUGGAAAUUUCAUGAAGUGUAGGAAAGGCUUGAGGCAAAUGAAACCAAAUUUAGUGUCCAUUAAAGUAUGACAUACAUAUAUUUAUUGAUCUAGUCCUUAAAAUGAGAAGGUCCUCUCCCUUUUCCUCUUUUUCUCAACUUGAAUUUUAGCCAUUAUAUCACAAAUUUUGAACACACAUUAACCAUCUUGGCCAUAUAAACUUUCUCAAAUCCUUCCUCAUGGAGUGCAACUUGGUUACUUUAUGUUUAUUUUUCCUAAUUUAGCAUUAUACAGUACUAACUCUACCCUCUCUUGUUAUAGUUGCUUUUGGUCUUUUGCACUUUCUACACUCGACUAUUUUGGUUUCAACCAUGGGAUAUUCUUAGUUCAUAUUUUUUUCCUUCUAUUUAUGCCCAAUAUAUGAAAUUAUUAAUGGCACUUUAUUAUUUUAGAUUAGUUAAUGUAAAUCAAAGCUCCUCUAUUAACAAGGUUGCCAUUUUAUCUCUCUUUUCUUUUUUGAUCCAUUGCUCCUUUGAUAUACCUCAAAGAUGAUGUGAUUCCCUAUAUGAAGCCUUGCCUACUUCCCUUUUUCUAUGAACUCUUAACAAGUCAAGUGGAUUUUUGAAAGGUUGCUUUCUAGUAUCAUGAGGUUAAAACAUCCAAACAGAAAGACAUUUGUUCCUACCACUUGGUCUUUUAAGGCUUUAGGAGGAUGUUGUAUUUCUCAGGGCUCUUGUAACAUUGGGAGUUCUAGAAAUUUGAUGUAAAGAUCAAGAUCUACCUCCUAAAAAAUUUUAGCUUUUUCAUGAUUAUUUUCAUUAGUCAUGUUUAUUUUGGGAAAAUGGUAACCUCUUGUGACUACAAGAGGAACCGGAUUGUGUAAGGAUGGAUCUCAUAAGUAUAAAUAGAGGUUUUAUAACUUAGUUUUAUCAUCAUUAAUGAAACAAAAGGGGACCUAGAUGCCAUUAUCACCAAUUUUUCUAUCUUCUAAUAUUCUUUUAAGUGAUUUGAGUUGAGCAAGUUGAAGGAAUAGUGUGAAGAAAUUUUGCAUGCUGUGAAUGGAUCCACUAUAUUUACAUUUCGUAUAAAAAUUAACAAAGAACAAGGAAGUCUUGGAGACUUCUCAAGUUCACAAGUGCUAAAAUGUAGAGUGCUCUGUUUAGUUUUAUUGGAGUUCAGUCACAGAGAGAGAGAGAGAGAGAGAGAGAGAGAGAAGACACUAUCAUCAAUCAUACUAUGUGAGUGCAUGUACAACCGUGUCAAAAGUAUAUCCUGUUAUUUUUCUCUAAAUGUAAAAUUGCUACAUUUUCUCCUUUAUUGUGCUAUAAAACUACCUAAAUUUGUUUCUUUUCCUAUUUGAUACAUUCUUCUGAUCUGUUUUGUGAUCCAAGGUAUAAGCAUUUUGGGCAAUUUGCCCCAUUGGGCGGAGAACAGACUGCUGCACAGCUGCCUGGAGAUUGGAUCUCUAUAGGCCACAGUACCCAGUGGCUCUGGUAUUCUGUGUAUGCAAGGUAUAUGCUUUUUUUUUUCUUUUACUUAUUUUUUCUGUGAUACUUGAAAACUCUAAUUUAUUCAUUUUACUACCCAUUUUCCUUGGAAUUUUGAUACAUAGAUGGAAAUUUGAUCUUCUUUUUUCUGUUUUAUUCUUCACAAAUCAUGGUCUAAAGUGUGUUUUAGUACAGUCUGGUCCUUAUUCUUGCUAUUUCUUUUCAAAUUCAGCAAACAAGUCAGCUGGCGCACGAGAGCAUUGGUAAUUUCUGAUUGGAUGAGGCGUUUCAUAUUUGGGAGGGACUCAAGUUGCAUAUAAUUUCGCAAAAAAGUUCCCAGUACUUGCAAAACAGAGCUGCUUUUGAAGUUUUUGCAACCUACACAAAACUCAGAUCCCCUGCCCAUCUGUAUUGCUCAUCCUUUUUCUUGUUUGCCUUUUAAAUUUUUUAAGACCACGAGUAAGCUCUUGUUGGCAAUUUUGAGUAUAGCUAUUCUUGUUACUUCUGAGAUACAAAGAGUAUAGCUAUUCUUGUUGUAUGUCACAAUUAAACACCAAGUGUGGAUACUAAUUCUGUGUUUUGAUAUUGCAUUGGCUCCACUGUUAUGGAGGACUUUAUCCUCUUUAAUUUUUCCGGUUACAUUAUUUACUUUGAAAUUGCCUGUUCCUGAUCGGUUUUCAUGUGCAAUCUCUUGCUCUACAUAGUUAACGAUUUUUUUUUUUUUGUGUGUGUGUACUGCGGGCAUAUUUAUUGGUUUGAUUCGACCCGUGUCUCCGUCAUCCAAUUUCAGAAACCAGAUAGGAAAAUAUCUUUGCAUUAUGAUGUUUAUACUUAAGAAUAUAACUGACUGUGACCAUUGUAGAAGUAUGUAAGUAGUUUCUUUUUUCUUGAAAAAUGGAAAAUUGAAGCAUCUAUAUACAAGAACCAUCCCUCAUGGAUUUGGUUAUGGUUGGAAUAGUGUGCUCGAACUUAGUAAGGUGAACACAGUCGAUAACCUGCUUGAUUUUUUUUAAGACACUAUUCAUGUAUAUAUCAUUAUAUACGUUCAAGUAGAUUCAUCCAAAUUUUGCAUGUAAUAGAAAAACAUAUAUUACAUUAGUAAUUUUUCGUCACAUCCCAGCAAAUUACAUGACAAGCUUCAAUACCACUUUUGUCAUACAAAAAUAUAUGGUUGUCAAUAAUCACAAUAAAAUUGAUUUCUAAGUAUAUUUUGCAAUGCAAAUGCUUAAUAUAUUUAUACUUAUAAAAAUGCUAAAGUUUGGUUUCUUUAUUGUGCUUCCUAAGUAUUUACCAUCUUGAUUUUUCAUGCUAAAGAGUUGUCAUCUCAGUGGCUAUGAUCCAUUAAAUUAAAUCCAACCGUUUUAUCUUGUUUAUGGACCGAAACUUAAUUGGUUCAUUGUCCAGAGUUGGACUGGAAUGAUUCAGAGAGCAUUCGGCUCCAAAUGCUUCUCAAGCAAAAUCAAUCGAGGGCCUUAAAAUAAAAAUGAACAGCAUUGAUGAUUCUCUCUUGAUUCUUCUUUUCAGCUAACUGCAUCUCUUGGUUCCUGCGCCACUCCCACCAAUCAUUAGAUUGAUGGAUAAUUUGAUGGAUUAUUAGUUUUGAGGUGGAUGAUAUGAUACCUUCACUUGGGGUUGAGGCAGCAAAGGAGAUCCGACCGAUCCUCACCACCGCCGCAGCGAAUCCGACCAAUGCUUACCACCGCCACAGCGAUGAGGUUAUCAUAGAUCUCCCUGGCUCUGUCAUCCACAUGAAGGAAAACAGCUUGCUCGUCUGGGACGAAGUCCAUUAUCUUGCCCUCUACCCUCUUGCAUGAAUGAGAUGUAUGCCUGAAAUGCUUGCAAGAGAAAUCCUUCCUCAGGUGGAUAAUGAUAUCCAUUAACCCUGGUUGUAGCAGCUGGUGUAUUCCUCUUGAUCACAUCUGCCCAAUUAGAGAUGCUGCUGCACCAUCAAUAUCAAAGCAAUGAAAAAUUAACUUUGUGGAAAUAUAUUUAUGAUGUUCUUGGACAAUCAAUUAGGUUAUACUCGUCCAAACUAAUUUAAAUCUGACAAGGAAAAAUCAAAUCUAAAUUCGAACAUAAUUAGGGUCUAUUUGGAUAUUCCUAUAGAAAUAGGCUGAAAAUACCAUAGAAUUCGUGAAAUCGACCAUGUAUUUGGGCAUGAGCUUCUAUCAAUCAAAUACUAUAUAGCCUCUAUCAACCAAAGACCUCCUGCAACCCAAGGGCUAAGAUCUAGGUUGGGUUUAGAUAUAGCUCUUAGAAAAUGCGAGCUAAAUGAACCAACAAGCUUUAUUCCUGCAGGGUUUUCGGUCUAAGCAUGUAAGAAUACCCAAACAGGCCUUUAAUGGGAUUGUUAAGGAUCUUGUUGAUCUAGCCAACCAUAUAACAUUCAUGCAGCUCAUGAUAUAUACUAUUUGCUGUAUAAAUUACUACAUUUAAUUCAGUAUGCCAGCCUGAGCUAGGUACGACACAUUUCGAUUGAAAUGAGGGAAAAACCUAUCAGAACACUGCAAGUAUUACGACAGAAGAAUUGCCGUACAAGCGAGAUAGUUAGUUAUCAGAUGUUGAUGGGUUCCUCCUAUCAUAUGGUCUCAUAAACCAAUGUCUGUUGAUUAAGAAAGUGAACCCAAUACAUGCCUGGAUUUGGUAUAUUGCCUUUACCUGAUAUAGUUUACCUGCCUCUUGUUUAUUAAUUUUUAUAAUUCAUAUCUAUUCUAUUAUUAGACUGAAACUUUUCUAAUUUAGGCUCUAUUAGGGGUGCAAAUGAGCGGGGCAGCUCGGAGCUUAAUCGAAUAUCUAUAUUUUAACAAUAUCAUAUUUUAUUUAAAAUAUAUAUUAUUAAUUUAAUAUUUUAUAAUAUAAUAUAAUAUAAUAUAAUAUUUGGUUUUAACUAUAUUUUCUUAAUUAUGAUCAAAAUCUGAAUUCGAGCUCGAGUAUGGCUUGGUUGAUUUUCGAGCCGAGUCAAGUCGAUGAUGAGUAUUGCUUUUUUUUAUUAUUAUUGAGUCAGAGCUCGAGCUUGAAUAUUAAGGCUUGAUUGAUUUCGAAUCAAGUUUCGAGCUCGAGUAUUUUAAAUCGAAUCAAGCUCGAGCUUCUAGUUACUCGACUCGGCUCGGCUCAGUUCGAUUGCACCCUUAGGUUCCAUUUUGCAUAUUUCUAAAUAUCUUUUGCACAUUUGUCUUUUGGUAAAUAUUGGAUUAGUGACUCUGCCAUGGGUAGGGUUGAUCCAUCCCAAUAGCAUAUGCAUCACACUUUCUAAACUCCAUCAAAAUUUCUCACAAUAGCUUUGCCUCACAAUUAGCCACUCUAUCAACUUGAUGUAGAGUGUGCCCUUCUAUAUGGUGAUUUUCAAGAAAUAGUAUUUAUGUCUGAACCGUCUAGUUAUAUUGAUCAAUCAAAAUCCACUCAUGUUUGUGAGAUGCGCGAAUCAAUUUACGGACUCUAGCAAUUUCGUCGUACUUGGUAUGAAAAGUUUGGCUCAAAAUUUGUGAAGUUGGAGUUUAUUAUUUUACAAUCAAAUCCUUCGCUAUUUAUAUCUCAUCAGGGCAAUAUUACAUUAUAUCUUCUUCUUUAUGUUGAUGAUAUUAUUCUCGCUAGCAAUAAUAACAUUGCUCUUCGCAAGCUCAUUAUUGAACUUGCUAAUUCAUUUAAGAUUAAGGAUAUGGGAUCAUUGUCAUACUUUCUUUGUAUCCAAGUGGAUCGGUCGAGUGAUGGAAUUUUUCUACAUCAAUCCAAAUAUAUCUUAGACUUGUUACAAUGCACCAACAUGCUUGGAUGCAAACCAUGUUUAAGUCCUUGCUAUAUCGAAAAGCCGAGUCACAUGGAUAGCCCUCCUCUUGAUGAUCCUUCAUUUUAUCGGAGUAUUGUCGGAGCCUUUCAAUAUGUAACCUUAACACGAUCAGACAUUAUUUUCUCAGUCAACAAGGUCUAUCAAUUUUUACAUCUAAUGGAGGCCCAUAUGGUAGAAGUCAAACACAACUUCGAUUUCUUAAAGGCACCAUCACUAUUGGGCAUCAUCUAUGACCAGGCCCAUUAAAUUUUGUGGCUUACUCAGAUGCAGAUUGGGCUAGCAGCCCUAUUGAUAGACACUCUACAAGUGGUUUUGGUGUUUUUCUUAGACCUACCCUAUUUCUUGGAGCACUAAAAUGCAAACAACAAUUGCUCGAUCAUCUACUGAAAUGGAGUAUCAGUGCCUUACCAAAACUACUACUGAACUACGGUGGAUAUGUUCUCUCAUGCAUGAAUUAUAUAUUCCUCUCUACUCUGUUCCUUUAAUCUGGUUUGACAACAUUUCUGCCAUCUCUCUCACCUUCAAUCUAGUUUUUUAUACAAGAAAUAAACAUUUUGAGAUCGACUAUCACUAUGUCCGAGAAUUGGUAUGUAGGUUGUUAGCUUUUGGAUGUCAAUUCAUCUCAUCUAUAGGUUGAGCCGCUGACAUCUUCACCAAAGGUCUUCACUCUAACCACAUUUGGUUUUUACAAUCUAAGCUUCACAUUCAAUCGAAUGCUCAUCUUGAGAGAAAAUAAUAGCAUACCUUAAAUUCUCUCUAUUCAAAUUCAAUUUUUGAAUUCAAAUUAUUGUUGUAAUUUUUUCAUUAUUUUUCUCCUACUUUCUCUCUAUUCAAAUUUGAAUUUGAAUUCCUACUGCAAUAUUCUCCUUAUUUUUCUCCUAUAAUACUCUUGUACAUGUUAUAUAUAUUCAAUACAAACUCAAAAAAAUCCCAAGCAAUCAAGUGAGAUUUUAGCCGUCACACUGUAUGUCUUUCAGCUAUAAUAACCUAAGAUCUCACACAUAAAAACUAGCUAGAAGAUAUUGCUUGGGUUCCCAAGUCCUAUAUAAGUACCUAAAAUUUCUCCAAUGAGUAACCAGUGUGGGACUAAACAUACACCUGCACAGGUCCUUACAUACUCCUCUCGUUUAAACUUUAGCAUUCUCACGGGGCUAAAGGUCCAAAAUCCAUUAAAAUCCAAUGACAAACAUUAUGAUCAGCUCAUGGUUAACCUAAAUGGACCUAUGCUAUACUAUCUCCUAAUCCACAUAGGUCAUAGGCUGGAUCCGCUCUAAUAUAUUUGCAACGACCCAAGAUCUCAUCCAAAAAGGAUAGUCGAAAGGUAUUAUUUGGAUUUUUUGGCUCUACAUAAGUACCCAAAAUCAUUUCAGCACAUAUUUGAUGUGGGACUAAACACAUGCAUGUACGAGUCCUCACAUACUUUUUCCAUUUAAACCCUGGCGUCCUCAUCAGCCUAAGGGUCCAAAUCCGUUUAAACCUAAUUACAAACAUCACAAUUGGCUUGUAGUCAGCCCCAAUGAACUUAUGCUGCAAUAUUUUUUAAUUCCAUAGGUCAUGGGUUAGGUUCGCUCUGAUACCAUUUGUAACAACCCAAGAUCUCAUCCAAAAAGGCUAACUGGGAUAUUUUUGGGUUCCUUGGCUCUAUAUAUAUACCCAAGAUCUCUCUAAUGCAUAGCCGAUAUAGGACUAAACAUAUGCCCAGGUCCUCACAUAUGCAAUGCAUAUGUAGUCCAUCAUAGUAUGCAUGUAUAUGUAGGACCCUGUCCAAGGAAGAUGCUAUUAUUUUCUUCAAUGUAAAACUGCUGCAAUUUCUCCUUUAUUGUGCUAUAAAGCUACCUACAUUUGUUUCUUUUCUAUGUGAUACAUUCUUCCGAUCUAUUUUAUGAUUGGAGAUAUAAGCAUUUGGGAGAUUUGCCCCAUUAAAUGGAGAACAAAUAACUGCACAACUGCUUGGACCUUUAUAGGCCACAUUACCCAGUGGUUCUGGUAUUAUAUGCAAGGUCUAUACUUUUCUUUCUUUUAAUUACUAUAUCUGAAAAUAAUAAAUUCAACUUGCCCGAAAUAACUGCUUUAUCCUUGAGAUAAAUUUCUUUCAUGUGACGGUCAUUUUGGAGCAAUAUCUCAAUUACGUCAAUGUUCAGCUAUCUGUAGUACUGUGAUGAAUGCACAAGCAGGGGAGGUACGUUUGAGCAAUUUGUUGAUUUCACUUCCAUUUUACUUGAAAUUUUGAUGCAUGCAUGGAAAUUUACCUUCUUUUUCUUCUUUUCUUCUUUCCUCAUCACUAUGAUCUAAAGCGUGCCUCAAGUAUAGUUUGGUCCUUAUUCCUGUUGUUUCUUUUAAAAUUUCAUUUUUGGGACGGCCUCAAGUAGCAUAUAAUUUUGCAAGAAUGUCCAAAUUCUUGUAAAACAGAGCUUCCACUGAAGUUUCAGCAGCCUACACAAAAAUGAGAUCCCCUUUUCAUCUAUAUUUCUUAUCCUUUUCUUGUUUACCUUUUUAAUUCUAUGUUUCGAUAUCUAAUUGGUUCUACUGUUAUAGAGGAUUUGUACUCUUUCAUUUUUUCAGUUACAUUAUUCAUUCUGAAACUACCUGAUCAUGAUCAGUUUUCAUGCGCAAUCUCUUGUUGUACAUUGUUCACGAUUUUUUUUUUAAUAUAGUGGAUACAUUUAUUGGUUUGAUUGAACCUGUGGCUCUGUCAUCCAGAAGCCAAAUGGAAAAUAUCUUACUAUAAUGAUGCAUAUACUUAAGAAUAUAACUGACUGUAACUAUUAUUAUAGGUUUCAGGUAGUUUCAUUUUUCUGGAAAAAUGGAAAGUUAAAUUAUUUAAGAAUAUAAAUUUGAGGCUUUCAGAGGCCCAUAUCUCGUUACAGAUCUGUGAAGUUUCCUAGACUGAAUAAGAAUGUAGCUUUGGUGCAGUGGAGGAAGCUUUUUGUGAUGACUCCUGAACUGAAAAAACUCGGAAUUGAUUCAUUUUCAUCUAUUUUUGGCAGAUGAGGGCUGGAAAAAAAAAUGUUCCACAAUGCUAGAAUUUGCAUGCACUUUCAGGUUUUUCUCGUACUGUUCAAAUAUGAUACUUCUUGAAUUUUGAUGCUAUGCAUCUCUGGGAGUUGCAGAAGUGACCAGGCUUCUUCCAAACUGCCCACUUCUUUGCUGGCUUUGCGCACCCGCACUGAAAAGUUUAUGACAAUUGUUAUGUUUCCAGUUGUUGCUGUUUAAUUUUAGGUUGUUGGUGGAGCUUUGUUUGCCUGUGUUGCUUCUCUCUUGAUUCUUCUUUUCAGUUAAUUACAACCAGUUUUGGUCCCUAUCCUACUCCCACCAAUCAUUACAUUAGUAGAUAAUUUGAUUGAUUAUUAGUUUUGAGGUCUAUAACUGAUAUGAUACCUUCAUUGGAGUUGAAGCACCUAAGAAGGGAUAGUUUCAAAUAAGCAGUGCACCCAUAAGUUUGUGCACUUGGUGGUCUAUACACUAAGAUUAUAAAAAGUAUUGAUUUUUGAUUUAGAAAAUGCAGUAAUUACUUAUGUACACUGGCUCUUUCUCAAUUUGCUACACAGGUUUUCAGUUAUAAAUCAUAAUUUUCCAAAUAAACCAUAUCCAUGGACCACCCUUUUUCUUAGCUAGGCUGGCUAAUGUGAGCAUGGCUGCCCUGCAAGGAUAUCUUUUUCAUCAUCUUCAGAAUCCUGGGUGACUCUGUGAUGGUCGUCUUUGGUUGUCAGAAAUGAGUCGUAAUACAAGCGUGAUGUUUGAAGGCAAGUUACUUGUAGAGUUAUUAACAUAAGUGGCCAUUAAAUAGGUCAAGUAACCUUUUCUUGUUGUGCAAUAUUAAACUCGUACAUGCUCUUUCAUGUUUACCUUCACCAGUUCCAUCUUAGUUGUAAUUAAACAAAUAAUGGAAUGGAAUUGAUUCAUUUGGUAUGACUUCUUGCACACCCACACCCCUUGCUGAUCACUUUGCUGACAAACUUCUGCUUACAGCCCCUACUAAAUCGCACACCAGAAGGAAAAAAAAGAAAAGAAAAGUGGAAGAAAAAGAAAAAGAUCACUCAUACCAUAUUUUGUGCAAAGCAAAUUUUUUUAAAUUAUUUAAUUCUUAAGGCAUCCUUUAAUUUGGAAUAAAUUUGAAUUUGGUCUAGGAUAAACUUGCAAUAUGAUGCACUGAGAACUAAACUCUUAUCUGUAUAAGUACCUUUAUCAUUUCUCACAGGGAAUUCAUUUUGAACUUCCAAUGUUCACGAAUUUAGCAGAAUAGUAGUUUUUUUUACUUUUUUUUGGGUCUACAGGACACAAAUUUGCUCGUUCUUCAGAAAUUAAUGUGUUCUCAUGAAUUUAGCAGCUGCCCGAACGGCUGCAAAAUUACCAGUAGUUCAACUGGAAGUAGGCCUUGAUAUACAUAUAAAAAGCCAACUUAAUAUAAAAGCUCAAGCUGUAAAAUGUUAGGCUGAGUCAUUACAUCAAUCCCUCUACCUCUCACUAACUGUUUGAUGUGGGACUAAACCUCACAUGCAAUCCUCAACACCAGAGACUCUCAGCAUGUUAACAAGAUGUCAGACAUACNN